GGUCACUGCUAUUGGGGUUCGGCUAAGCCAUGCGAGCGGAGGGCGCGGUCGCAAGAUCGUGGCCCCGCACACGGCUCAGUAACACGUAGUCAACCUACCCUUGGGACGGGGACAACGCCGGGAAACUGGCGAUAAUCCCCGAUAGGUGAGGGAUGCUGGGAUGCUUCUUCGCUCAAAGCUCCGGCGCCCGAGGAUGGGACUGCGGCCUAUCAGGCUGUUGGUGGUGUGACGGACCACCAAACCUACGACGGGUACGGGCGAUGGGAGUCGGAGCCUGGAGAUGGGGACUGAGACAAGGCCCCAGGCCCUACGGGGCGCAGCAGGCGCGAAAACUCCGCAAUGCGCGCAAGCGUGACGGGGGAACCCCAAGUGCCGUUGGCUUUUGAUCGACGGCUUUUCGGAAGUCCAAUAAGCUUCCGGAAUAAGGGCUGGGUAAGACUGGUGCCAGCCGCCGCGGUAACACCAGCAGCCCAAGUGGUGGCCGCGAUAUUGGGCCUAAAGCGCUCGUAGCCGGAUCAGCAAGUCCUUUGUGAAAUCGGACCGCCCAACGGUUCGGCGUGCAAAGGAUACUGUUGGUCUUGAGACCGGGAGAGGUCGGAGGUACUCUUGGGGUAGCGGUGAAAUGCUGUAAUCCUGGGGGGACCACCAGUGGCGAAGGCGUCCGACCAGAACGGAUCUGACGGUGAGGGGCGAAGGCUAGGGGAGCGAACGGGAUUAGAUACCCCGGUAGUCCUAGCUGUAAAGCAUGCGGGCCAGGUGUCUAGCGCUCCUUGAGGGCGCUAUGUGCCGGAGGGAAGCCGUUAAGCCCGCCGCCUGUGAAGUACGGCCGCAAGGCUGAAACUUAAAGAAAUUGGCGGGGGAGCACCACAAGGGGUGGACCUGCGGUUCA
RNAcentral lists this ribosomal RNA (889 nucleotides) under uncultured euryarchaeote. RNAcentral's name for it is "bacterial SSU rRNA". It matches the Rfam family "Archaeal small subunit ribosomal RNA", at positions 21 to 904 of the family's 1478-position model. The record is from RNAcentral. Lineage: Archaea; Methanobacteriati; Methanobacteriota.